GACUCGGGAGCUGCCUUUCGAAGGGUCCCCCCACUGCCCAGCAGCCGGCGGCAACAGUGUCUGAGCCCCCAGCCUCCCCUGGACCGCAGCUUCGCUCCCGCCGAGCAGAGGAAGGCGCGGCUGGCUCUCCCCAGGAAGGUGUCAGGAGUUCAUCACUAAAAAUCCAAUUCACCAUCCAGUUGGCCCCUUUGGUGCAAUCUACCACCACCUUUCUGUCCUGGGAAAGUCAGAUGUGACAUCCAGGGCGGUGAAUCUCACUAUCAGACUAUCUCGUCAGAACAAUGACGCCCCCAAAUCAACACUGGAGUUCGUCUUUGGUCACUCAAAGAAUUAAAAAAAGAGUUGUACUCACAGCCUACUUUUAGUAAAUGUUUGCUAAAGCAAACUUUCAAGAUGGCCCCCCCUUUUUAAAUA
Talpa occidentalis (Iberian mole) is the source of this 414-nucleotide long non-coding RNA. RefSeq lists it as uncharacterized. NCBI's taxonomy places the organism in Eukaryota, Metazoa, Chordata, Mammalia, Eulipotyphla, Talpidae. The transcript is spliced from 3 exons. The record is from RefSeq and is a predicted model, not a curated record.